CUCCCAGUUCCACUGUUUAAGAGCUGGGAAGACGGUUCUCUCCACCACCUCUCCAGACUCCAGCCCUCCUGCACUGUGUGUGACUGUGUGUGACUGUGUGUGACCGUGAGUGACCGUGUGUGACCGUGAGUGACCAUGUGUGACCAUGUGUGACCGUGUGUGACCGUGUGUGGUGCUGCCAUUUUAACGUUGUGAUGAGAGUUAACACUCAGUUUGUGAGAGUGGUCCUGAGUUGGUUAACACUGUGGAAGCUUUCCCUCAUUUAAAAACACCAAAGAACAAUAGGAUAAAAUAAAAGACUGGUACAAGGUCCGGCCCCAUCUCUUCUGCUCCAAUCAGAGACUGGUACAAGGCACAGCCCCAUCUCUUCUGCUCCAAUCAGAGACUGGUACAAGGCACAGCCCCUUCUCUUCUGCUCCAAUCAGAGACUGGUACAAGGUACCGCCCCAUCUCUUCUGCGCCAAUCAGAGACUGGUACAAGGCACAGCGCCAACUCUUCUGCUCCAAUCAGAGACUGGUAUAAGGCACAGCCCCAUCUCUUCUGCUCCAAUCAGAAACUGGUACAAGGCACAGCCCCAUCUCUUCUGCUCCAAUCAGAGACUGGUACAAGGCACAGCUCCAUCUCUUCUGCUCCAGUCAGAGACUGAUACAAGGCACAGCCCCAUCUCUUCUGCUCCAAUCAGAAACUGGUACAAGGCACAGCCCCAUCUCUUCUGCUCCAAUCAGAAACUGGUGACCACUCUGAGCUCUCGGCCUCCAUUGAUCCGUCA
RNAcentral lists this long non-coding RNA (770 nucleotides) under Salmo salar (Atlantic salmon). Its description in RNAcentral is "lncRNA (ENSSSAG00000090004.1)". The record is from RNAcentral. Lineage: Eukaryota; Metazoa; Chordata; Actinopteri; Salmoniformes; Salmonidae.